Molecule: long non-coding RNA, 931 nt
Organism: Onychostruthus taczanowskii (white-rumped snowfinch)
Lineage: Eukaryota; Metazoa; Chordata; Aves; Passeriformes; Passeridae
Exons: 2
Source: RefSeq, a predicted model, not a curated record
AGUUUCCUCUUCAUAAUCCUCUAUCUGUGGAAAGAAAUUGCUUUUGUUCUGAAGUAGAAGCCAAAAUAACUGUAUUAAAAAAGCACAGUGAAGCCAGUAACUGUGUUACAAGAGAAUUGCUUUCUUCAAGCCUCUAAGUGUUACAUUUUGAUAGGAUCCUGCCUGCAUACCUCUGCCAUUGGUUAUUACUGCAGGAUAAACUGCAGUGUGGGACUUGUCUGAAUUUGCUGCUCUCCUCAUUGAUGCAACCUGAGCUGAAAAUUCUCACAUGGAAUUUCUGCCACAAGCCCAAUAAGAAAUGUUUUGGCAAGAGGGAAGCAGCUGAAAAACUGAGUAGAAGAUGCUUCCAAUCACUGCCCCAGCUUCACUCCCGAAAUAAAACUGAAUUUUCUCCUUUCCUAGUCUUGGAUAAAGUUUGGGGAUGAGGGGUAGGAGCAGGAAUGGGGGAAAAUCCAGAUGGGAUUUAGCCUGGAAAGAGGACUGGGAAAAUCUCAAUGAGAUUUCAGCCAGAAACAGGAGCAGGAAAAACCCAGACAGGAAUUCUCUGGGAAACUGGAUUUCACCUGGAAUUGGGCUUGAAAGAAAACCUGACAGGAUUUCUCCUGGAAUUAGGACAGAAGGAAAACCAGACUGGAUUUCCCCUGGAACUGGGACUGAAGGAAAACUGGAUCUGGAUUUCUCCUGGGAAGUGGCUCAGGGAAAAACCUGGACUGGAUUUCACAGAAAAUCCAGAUUGGAGGGGCAGGAAAAACAUGGAGUGGAUUUCCCCUGGAAAGUGGUUUGGGGAAUAACCAUGACCAGAUUUCACCCUGAAUCCAGACUGGGGAAAAAACCCAGACUGCAUUUCACUCAGAAACCAGGGAUAUUUCCUUGGAGUAAAAUGAUUUUCCAGCAUUCCAAUGGUGGAAUAAAUCCAAAUAAUAAAUUAUAA